CCGGCCGCAAGCGGCGCUCGCAAAGUUCGGAUCCGCAAGGACCGGGCCAGCGGGACGUCCCAGUGGCAGGGUGCACUUUCUCCGCGGUCGAGUGCUACGACCGGUUUCGAGGCGGUCAGAAGCCCGGCGGAAAGGUAGCGCCGCCCUUCGGGGUGUCGUGUUAUAGGCCGCCGCGGUGGACUCGCCGCGAGACCGAGGACGCUUGCCGCGCCGAGCGGUCCCGGGCCGUCUUGGGAGGUUCGACCUCGGCUGCACUGCUCCGCAGAGCACCGUAACCGCCGCCCUAGCACGGGUCCGGAGACUGCCGGCGCCUCGGGUCAGUAGCG
RNAcentral lists this ribosomal RNA (326 nucleotides) under Corbicula sp. AB11a. RNAcentral's name for it is "partial 28S ribosomal RNA". The record is from RNAcentral. Lineage: Eukaryota; Metazoa; Mollusca; Bivalvia; Venerida; Cyrenidae.